RNAcentral lists this long non-coding RNA (1136 nucleotides) under Nicotiana benthamiana. RNAcentral's name for it is "long non-coding RNA (NBEN_LNC008769)". Lineage: Eukaryota; Viridiplantae; Streptophyta; Magnoliopsida; Solanales; Solanaceae. The record is from RNAcentral.
AUGUAUUUAAGGAAAACGUCACAAGCAUAUGAUUUUUCCACAAAAGGAUCAAAAUAAGGAGGUUUAAUCGAAAGGAAUCAGUAAAGAAUCAUUAGCCUUAUUAAAGGGAUUUCAAAAUCAAUCACUUGGUUGGUGAAACCUUUGGAAUGAAGAGUUUUUCUCAUAUAAAAAGCAUACAGCUCAAACAAAAGAAAGAGUCUAACAAUGAAAGUUUCAGAGUCACAAGAAAAAAAGGAUUUAAAAUUUCAAUUACAGACUCAUAGCGAGUCUAAAAAUCUAGGAUCCCAAAGUAGAACCUUAAUGUCAUUUAUCAAAGAAACCCCAAAAGAUAGGGUCACUGAUAGAGGCUCAGAGAUCUUUUCGAAACUUCUGAGAGGCAAACAUAUGUGAAAGCAGACACAUUGAUUUAAAGGCGUGCUUGAGGAAAAACUUAGAAUUCAAAAAAAUUUCAGAAGUUUUAAAUAAAGUAGGUAUGGAAAAUACUUAGUAGGAACAUCAACAAAACUCAUUAAGGCGAAAAAAAAUCAAAGAGCACAAACAUAAACACAUAUAGCAAAGAGUAUGGAACAACAACCUAAGUUAACAUGUUAACAAAGAAAUGACAAAUUCUUGCACAAUAAGAAAGGAACAAAAGAGCCAACAGUAAGUGGAAGAACAUGGAAGUAAAAAUACACAUAAAGAGAGAGCAAAAGAGUUAGAAAACAUUAAAAGAAACUUUUUCCUGAAACCCUAAAAAUCGAACUUGAACAAAGAAAAGCCUUAAAACAUCAAGUAAAGACCAAGCAUAGUACAGAUCUAAAAAAAAUAAGAAAUUAUAGAACCUUAGAAGGCUUAAAAUGGCAAAGAAGACCCUAGAAUGAGAAGGUUUUAGGAAAAUCGGAUCCUGAGUCGAAGAGACUCAUUUGCUUUAAACACGCCGGAGAAUGGCCGGAGAAUGCCGGAAAGGCCAUAGCCCUUGCAGAUCUAAGGCAGAUCUAAAGGAAACCAUGGAAGUUGGACUCCGAGAUUUGGUUAAUUUAGGUUCAACAGCGAGGAGAGUGGGUUAUAGGCCAUCCAUGGCUGGGGCUGCCAUAGAUUCCGGUGGAAAUGAGACAGAAGUAAGGGGAAAAGGACUAGGGUUUUGGAGAGGGCUAGAG